GAUCCUACGGGGGGCAGCAGUGAGGGAUAUUGGGCAAUGGGGGAAACCCUGACCCAGCGACGCCGCGUGAGGGAAGACGGUCUUCGGAUUGUAAACCUCUGUCUUUGGGGACGAAAAAGGACGGUACCCAAGGAGGAAGCUCCGGCUAACUACGUGCCAGCAGCCGCGGUAAUACGUAGGGAGCGAGCGUUGUCCGGAAUUACUGGGUGUAAAGGGAGCGCAGGCGGCGCGUUAAGCCUGGUGUGAAAGCCCGCGGCCCAACCGCGGGACUGCAUUGGGAACUGGCGCGCUGGAGUGCCGGAGGG
Molecule: ribosomal RNA, 305 nt
Filed under: uncultured bacterium
Lineage: Bacteria
Description: bacterial SSU rRNA
Rfam family: Bacterial small subunit ribosomal RNA
Source: RNAcentral